UGGGGAAUAUUGCACAAUGGGCGAAAGCCUGAUGCAGCAACGCCGCGUGAGUGAUGAAGGCCUUCGGGUUGUAAAGCUCUGUCUUUUGGGACGAUAAUGACGGUACCAAAGGAGGAAGCCACGGCUAACUACGUGCCAGCAGCCGCGGUAAUACGUAGGUGGCAAGCGUUGUCCGGAUUUACUGGGCGUAAAGGAUGCGUAGGCGGAUUUUUAAGUGAGAUGUGAAAUACCCGGGCUUAACUUGGGUGCUGCAUUUCAAACUGGGAAUCUAGAGUGCGGGAGAGGAGAAUGGAAUUCCUAGUGUAGCGGUGAAAGUGCGUAGAGAUUAGGAAGAACACCAGUGGCGAAGGCGAUUCUCUGGACCGUAACUGACGCUGAGGCAUGAAAGCGUGGGUAGCAAACAGGAUUAGAUACCCUGGUAGUCCACGCCGUAAACGAUGAGUACUAGGUGUAGGAGGUAUCGACCCCUUCUGUGCCGCAGUUAACACAAUCAAGUACUCCGCCUGGGAAGUACGAUCGCAAGAUUAAAACUCAAAUG
Molecule: ribosomal RNA, 538 nt
Filed under: uncultured bacterium
Lineage: Bacteria
Description: partial 16S ribosomal RNA
Rfam family: Bacterial small subunit ribosomal RNA
Source: RNAcentral